AAGCGAGGUCCAGAGUCACCUUUGAGAAUAAGUGUCUUUUUGGUGCUAGGAUUACUCGAAAAUAAAUUAGGGACUUUAUGCAAGCAGCUGUUGCAUUUUGCUCAUCUGUUUCACCUCCGUUUCUAACAAUU
Molecule: small nucleolar RNA, 131 nt
Filed under: Caenorhabditis briggsae
Lineage: Eukaryota; Metazoa; Nematoda; Chromadorea; Rhabditida; Rhabditidae
Description: comCb11 H/ACA snoRNA
Rfam family: C. elegans snoRNA ceN100
Source: RNAcentral